RNAcentral lists this ribosomal RNA (853 nucleotides) under uncultured bacterium. Its description in RNAcentral is "bacterial SSU rRNA". It matches the Rfam family "Bacterial small subunit ribosomal RNA", at positions 28 to 896 of the family's 1533-position model. The record is from RNAcentral.
GAUGAACGCUAGUGGCAGGCCUAAUACAUGCAAGUCUAGGGGGCAGCAAUGUCACCGGCGCACGGGUGCGUAACACGUAUGCAACCUACCUUCUUCAGGGGUACAGCCUUCCGAAAGGGAGAUUAAUACCGCAUAAGACCACACUGUUUCAUGACAGAGAGGUUAAAGAUUUAUCGGAAGAAGAUGGGCAUGCGUCUGAUUAGUUAGUUGGCGGGGUAACGGCUCACCAAGACGAUGAUCAGUAGGGGACCUGAGAGGGUAAUCCCCCACACUGGCACUGAGAUACGGGCCAGACUCCUACGGGAGGCAGCAGUAGGGAAUAUUGGGCAAUGGGCGCAAGCCUGACCCAGCCAUGCCGCGUGCAGGAAGAAGGCGUUAUGCGUUGUAAACUGCUUUUAUAUAGGAAGAAAAAGGCCAUGCGUGGCAAACUGACGGUACUGUAUGAAUAAGCACCGGCUAACUCCGUGCCAGCAGCCGCGGUAAUACGGAGGGUGCAAGCGUUGUCCGGAUUUAUUGGGUUUAAAGGGUGCGUAGGCGGCUUUUUAAGUCAGCGGUGAAAGCCGGUCGCUCAACGACCGAACUGCCGUUGAUACUGAUUAGCUUGAGUUUGAUUGAGGCAGCCGGAAUGGAUAGUGUAGCGGUGAAAUGCAUAGAUAUUAUCCAGAACGCCAAUUGCGUAGGCAGGUUGCUAAGUCAUUACUGACGCUGAGGCACGAGAGUGCGGGGAUCAAACAGGAUUAGAUACCCUGGUAGUCCGCACCGUAAACGAUGAUGACUAGCUGUCGGGCUUUCGGGUUCGGUGGCACAGGGAAACCGUUAAGUCAUCCACCUGGGGAGUACGCCGGCAACGGUG